AAUAAGUGCAGUUUUGCACUAUUUACGUUCAACGUUUGACCGUUCGUUUUAUUUGAAAUUUUUUUAUGAUUAGUAUUUUUAUUGCUAUUAGAUGAUAAAACAUGAAUAGUACUUUAUGUGUGACUAAAUAUUUUUAAAUUUUUCACAAAUUUUUCAAAUAAGACGGACGGUCAAACGUUGGGCACGGAUAUCCACGGCUGCACUUAUU
RNAcentral lists this microRNA precursor (208 nucleotides) under Oryza nivara. RNAcentral describes it as "MIR812 microRNA precursor family". It matches the Rfam family "MIR812 microRNA precursor family". Lineage: Eukaryota; Viridiplantae; Streptophyta; Magnoliopsida; Poales; Poaceae. The record is from Rfam by way of RNAcentral.